CCUACGGGUGGCUGCAGUGAGGAAUUUUGCGCAAUGGCCGCAAGGCUGACGCAGCAACGCCGCGUGGGUGAUGAAGGCCUUCGGGUCGUAAAGCCCUGUCAGGUGGGAAGAAAGGCCUGGAGAGGAAAGGUUUCAGGUUUGACGGUACCACCAGAGGAAGCACCGGCUAACUCCGUGCCAGCAGCCGCGGUAAUACGGAGGGUGCGAGCGUUAUUCGGAAUUACUGGGCGUAAAGCGCGUGUAGGCGGGGGGACAAGUCUGAUGUGAAAGCCCUGGGCUUAACCUGGGAAGCGCAUUGGAAACUGUUUUUCUUGAGUACUGGAGAGGAAGGGGGAAUUCCCGGUGUAGAGGUGAAAUUCGUAGAGAUCGGGAGGAAUACCAGUGGCGUAGGCGCCCUUCUGGACGGUAACUGACGCUGAGACGCGAAAGCGUGGGGAGCAAACAGGAUUAGAUACCCCAGUAGUC
RNAcentral lists this ribosomal RNA (465 nucleotides) under uncultured Syntrophobacter sp. Its description in RNAcentral is "bacterial SSU rRNA". It matches the Rfam family "Bacterial small subunit ribosomal RNA", at positions 338 to 795 of the family's 1533-position model. The record is from RNAcentral. Lineage: Bacteria; Pseudomonadati; Thermodesulfobacteriota; Syntrophobacteria; Syntrophobacterales; Syntrophobacteraceae.